RNAcentral lists this ribosomal RNA (253 nucleotides) under uncultured bacterium. RNAcentral describes it as "partial 16S ribosomal RNA". It matches the Rfam family "Bacterial small subunit ribosomal RNA", at positions 524 to 776 of the family's 1533-position model. The record is from RNAcentral.
UACAGAGGUCUCAAGCGUUGUUCGGAUUCAUUGGGCGUAAAGCGCGUGUAGGCGGUCCGGUAAGUCGGCUGUGAAAGUCCAGGGCUCAACCCUGGGAUGCCGGUCGAUACUGCCGGACUAGAGUUCGGAAGAGGCGAGUGGAAUUCCCGGUGUAGCGGUGAAAUGCGCAGAUAUCGGGAGGAACACCAAUGGCGAAGGCAGCUCGCUGGGACGUUACUGACGCUGAGGCACGAAGGUCAGGGGAGCAAACGGG